ACGGGGGUUGCGAGCGUUGUCCGGAAUUACUAGGCGUAAAGGGCAGGCAGGCGGAUUUAUAAGUUUUCUGUUUAAGGCAACGGCUCACCCGUUGUAAGGCAGGAGAUACUGUAGAUCUGGAAUGCGGUUGGGGAAGACAGAAUUCCUGGUGUAGCGGUGAAAUGCGCAGAGAUCAGGAGGAAUACCUAAGGCGAAGGCAGUCUACCAAGCCGUAAUUGACGCUGAACUGCGAAGGUGUGGGUAUCAAACAG
RNAcentral lists this ribosomal RNA (251 nucleotides) under uncultured prokaryote. RNAcentral's name for it is "partial 16S rRNA". It matches the Rfam family "Bacterial small subunit ribosomal RNA", at positions 525 to 775 of the family's 1533-position model. The record is from RNAcentral.